GACUUUUCUUUAAGGGGCCGUUCAAAUGUGACGUCACGCUUUUUAGGCUCAUUUUUUGACCCCUCCCCCCUAUAGUCACAAAUGGUCACUAUUUUGACUCACCCCUCCCCUCCCCGUGACGUCACAUUGUCCAAAUCAUUAUUCUUGGCAACGGGAAGAGAUACGCGACUACAUCAUCUUAAUUAGGUGCCUUAAUUGGAAAUUUCUAACAAUUUGAUUGCAUUUUGGAAAAUCUGGUCGUAUCUGGUCUAACGCUAACUUGUUCGGAAAAAUCUGAGGAAAGUGCAGUUAAAAUACCCAAGCCAGUGAUAAUUUAAGCUGAAGUAGGCGGGGAUUGCUGAUUUCAAUUUAUUUUUUAGUGGCUCACUCCAUUCAUAUUUGGCAAUUUUACACUUCUUAAAAGUGUGAUGUCACAAUGCCUUCAUCCCCCUCUCCCCCAUGUCACAUUUGGUCACGAUUUCUCUAGACCCCUCCCCCCCUUAAAAGUGUGACGUCAUUUUUGAACG
Molecule: long non-coding RNA, 506 nt
Organism: Thrips palmi
Lineage: Eukaryota; Metazoa; Arthropoda; Insecta; Thysanoptera; Thripidae
Exons: 3
Source: RefSeq, a predicted model, not a curated record